Brassica rapa (field mustard) is the source of this 2967-nucleotide long non-coding RNA. RefSeq lists it as uncharacterized. The record is from RefSeq and is a predicted model, not a curated record. Lineage: Eukaryota; Viridiplantae; Streptophyta; Magnoliopsida; Brassicales; Brassicaceae.
AGUAUAAUAUUAUUAUAAAUUAAUUUUAAUUAAAUUUUUAUUAUAAACAAAAUAAUGAUUUUUUUUGCUAAUUUUAUAAAUUUUAUAAGUAUAUUUUAUAUUAUAUUAAAAUAGAAGUAAUUAAUGAAUUACAUAUUAAAAUUAUGUUUUUUGCAAACAUAUUAAAAUUAUGUUGAAUUGGUAAAUCAAUAUAUUUUGAAAAAAAACUUUCAGUAAGAUAAAUAAAUAAAAUAUUAUUCAUCGUUUAAAGUGACUAAGAUAUCAUUCACUUUUUAAAAUGAUUAAUAUUCAUAUAUUAUGUAAUAAUUUUUACAAAAAAUAAAAUUGUUAACAUAUGUUAAAUUUUAAUUUAGGACUAUAUAUCAUCUAUUUAGUUAUUUUUAAAAUGACAGCAAUAUAUUAUCAUAAAUUAUUAUAUAUAAAAUAAUAUAAAAUUUUUUAUUUAUAAAUAAAAUGUUACUCUGCACGGGUGUGCGGGUUAAAAUCUAGUUUUAUCAUUAAUUCAAAUGCUGGAAAUAAAGCAGAGCAUUUUAUUUUUGAGAGAAUCAUGUGCCCAACCAAUGGACUGACUGACUGACUGAUUACGAUAAAGCUCUAGAUUUUCAUUCGUUAUGGGUUUCACUUGUACAUUAGAUUUUUUGCUUACCCGUUAAGGGACGCACAUAACCAAUCCAAUGAGAAUAAGGUAUAAAUUCAUUAUCUUAAAAGUAUCUUAUCUUUUGUUUUGUAUUAAUUAAUCAAUCCUGGCAUCUUCUUACACGUGAUUUGCUAGCUAAAUUUUGUUCCGUAAGCUUUUUCUUAUCUGAAGCUCUUUUAGAGCUUUUGCCCAAUUCCUUUAUAGCUUAAGCUUUCCAGAAAGAUUCCAUACAAAGUUUUUUUUAUAAAGAAAAACCCAAUGUGGCAAAAUGAAGUUAUAAUAAUAGUAACCAAAUUAAUAUGAGGAGUAUGCCAAGACACAUUACACACCUCUUUGGAAAGCUAAAUAAUAAAUGUUCCAAAAUUUAUUACUUGCAGAAUGUAAUAUCUAUGUGUGAAUAUCUUAUUUCUAAACAUUUUCAACUAUCCCACUAUAUAAAAGCAACUAAUUUCAAGCAUUCUUAGGCAUGCCACAUAUGAUAAAAUAUUUAGAACCAAUCAUUUAGUCAUGUCAUUAUGAAUUUCUUAAUGACAAAUUGCUGGGCCUCACAAAACCUUCACACCAAUUCAAUGUAUCAUUCCAGCCAAUAGCAUAUCAUAUUCCUCCUUCUUCGUUAACCCUAACCUCCACAAUUCUUAUAAGCUUAAAAUAGUUAAGGCAAAUUACACUACACCAUUAAAUAAUUCAUACCACCAUCUUUCAAAAUUCCGGCUAGAUAGAUACACUUUCUCCACUGUUCAGAGCCAUUAACACCUUAAUCAGAUCAAAAACCCCAACCUAACGACUCUCUUCAACUUCCCCAUCUCCAUCUAUAUAACCCUUUAGCCACUUACGAAGCUCAAGUAUUCUCCAAAGUUAUAUGAAAAUACCUACCGCAGCUAUGGCUGGACAAACUCCAACUCAACUGCACGAAAUCCAGUCGAGGCGUGUUGAAGAAGAGUUAGAGUUUGUAUUAUGAUCAGAGUACGCAAAUUUCUGUCUAGAUCGGCCAUUUAGAUCCCUGCAACUGAAUCGCCACUGCCGAAGAGACGACGUAGCAGAAGAUGAAAGAUGUUUUUUCGUUCGAGAACUUUCGUAUUGAAUCUCUUCAUAAACUCUUGGUAAGCUUAUGUUAAGUUUAAUGUUCUAAAUCUGAUCUGAUUUGAUUCGAUAUUAUACAUCGACGAAAUUAAGCUUUUAAAUUUAGUCAUGAUAAUUGAUACUGUUAUGAAAAAUUCCUUUGAGAUUAGGAAGCAUAAGUAUAUUGAAGCUCCAGACUGGUAAUGAUUUGUUUUUAAAAAAAAAUUAUUGCUCGAAUGUAUGGUUUGUCUAUGCUCUUUCUUGAUUAAUAGUGUUUGUAUGAUUUUUUGCAGAAAUGACAAAGCAAAUCUGCUCAAAUAUUAGCCACAGACCUGAAAGUUUUUGCGGCUUUCAACUAACUUUACAAAGAGAUCACUCAGCUUCUGACUCUAGAGAAUUUUAGAAGCUGAUCGAGGGAAAUCCUUUGUUUGAUGUGAAGCUUCCCUUUCCCAGUUUCAAGGCUUCCCAGCUCAGAACUUUGAUCAAUCAAAGGUUGUACAAAGUCUUGAACAUUCUUGAGUUCAAUAGCACGAGGCAAAAUAUGCCAAUAAUAGUGCAUGAUAAAGAUGGAAAACUCUGACUACUUUUUGAAAAACCAAAUAAGUAAGUGUAACUGGUGAUUUCAUAUAACAAAGUAUACAUAUCUUCCUUUUCAAAUUAUUUUAUGCCACUUCCUUUUCAAAAAAUUUGGAGAAUGCAUGCUUGAUCAUUAGUAUAUUAUAUACAUAUGGGAUUGGUCAUAUAAUACACUGAAAACGUAGCUCCAAUUGCUGAUUUUUCAUGGGAUGUUAACGCAACGAUAUUGCUAUCUUUAUUACAAACUCAUGUUGGAUGUGAUCUUGACUUCAGGAAUCUUUUAUUUUCCUAGAUUGAUAAUUCUAGAAGCAGAAGCAUGUAAUACAAAGUUUGGAUAUUUAUAGUUAAUUAACUAACUUGUCAUGAUCUGUGUUUGUACCAGGUCAAAGUUGGGUGCACAAGGCAGGAAGCAACUGUGCUUAAUAAUGAUUUACUAUACACAUGCUUUACUAUAUUUACUCUGAAAUUCUAUCUGAAUAAAAUAUUUUCAUAUCUUUUUUUUCAUUUUUUCAUUAAAACAUAUAUAUUUCAUUUUAUCAUUAAAAUAAAUAUUUGGAUAAUUAAGUAAUUUCAAAUUUAUUUAAAAUAAAUUUAUAUUUCAUUUUUAUUUUAAACAAAACUUUUAAAUAUUUAGUUAAUGUCGUAUUUAUUUUAAAAUUAAAUUUAUAUUUCAUUUUAACUAAAACAAAAUUUUA